UAACAUAACGACUCUCGGCAACGGAUAUCUCGGCUCUCGCAUCGAUGAAGAACGUAGCAAAAUGCGAUACUUGGUGUGAAUUGCAGAAUCCCGUGAAUCAUCGAGUCUUUGAACGCAAGUUGCGCCCGAAGCCUUUAGGCCGAGGGCACGUCUGCCU
This 157-nucleotide ribosomal RNA is filed under the name Echeveria colorata. Its description in RNAcentral is "5.8S ribosomal RNA". It matches the Rfam family "5.8S ribosomal RNA". Rfam says of the family: 5.8S ribosomal RNA (5.8S rRNA) is a component of the large subunit of the eukaryotic ribosome. The record is from RNAcentral. Lineage: Eukaryota; Viridiplantae; Streptophyta; Magnoliopsida; Saxifragales; Crassulaceae.